GAGGGAAAGAUUACCUGCAAGGCCUGCAUUCUACAAGUACAUUGUUAUUAUGUUCACCUUGAACGCAUUAGCACUAUUUGCCUGUGGGCUAACUGUGAAUGGGACUGAUUUUGGUUUCUGGUUGUACAGCACCACAAUUGUCUGCUACCAUACCUUUUACCUGCCUCUGCUAUAUGUAACAUUUUUAGCGGACUUUUUCCAGGUUAUUAUCAUUAUUGGGGCUGUUUUCUGGACUUUUCUGAACUUUGGUUUUGCCAUUUCUAUUCUCAGUUUUGACGGCCUGGUUUUAAACAUGUAAUUACUAUAAUCAUUGUACAUAUUAUUCUGGUUCUUCUGCAGGAGGAUGAUUUGCAUCUAGAGAAUGUAUACUAUUCAGAGAUGAAAGAUGCCGGUUUCUUUGAUGCUGAUUGGGAGUGAUGCAGUGAGAUUCCGGCUGGAUGACAAUCUGUACAUUGAAGUAACUUACGGAUGGCAAAAGUUGCUGCACUUUAAGAGAUGCUUGUUCAUUCCUUGCUUGACUUGUUCUUUCACUUUAGGUGUGCCGCUUCAUGCAACUCUAUGGUUUUGUUUUUUUUUUAAUUUUUUAUAACAGUAUUUGGAACGCUUUGUUGUGUGACAAUUAGGAACCCAUGUUAAGCCGCAUUAAAAUAUAGCUAUGUAUAAUACAGAAUAAUUGAAGCAUGGAGAUUCU
RNAcentral lists this unclassified non-coding RNA (691 nucleotides) under Hevea brasiliensis (rubber tree). The record is from RNAcentral. Lineage: Eukaryota; Viridiplantae; Streptophyta; Magnoliopsida; Malpighiales; Euphorbiaceae.